UGGGGAAUAUUGGACAAUGGGCGAAAGCCUGAUCCAGCCAUGCCGCAUGAGUGAAGAAGGCCUUUGGGUUGUAAAGCUCUUUUAGUGAGGAAGAUAAUGACGGUACUCACAGAAGAAGUCCUGGCUAACUCCGUGCCAGCAGCCGCGGUAAUACGGAGAGGGCUAGCGUUAUUCGGAAUUAUUGGGCGUAAAGGGCGCGUAGGCUGGUUAAUAAGUUAAAAGUGAAAUCCCGAGGCUUAACCUUGGAAUUGCUUUUAAAACUAUUAAUCUAGAGAUUGAAAGAGGAUAGAGGAAUUCCUGAUGUAGAGGUAAAAUUCGUAAAUAUUAGGAGGAACACCGGUGGCGAAGGCGUCUAUCUGGUUCAAAUCUGACGCUGAAGCGCGAAGGCGUGGGGAGCAAACA
RNAcentral lists this ribosomal RNA (402 nucleotides) under uncultured bacterium. RNAcentral describes it as "partial 16S ribosomal RNA". It matches the Rfam family "Bacterial small subunit ribosomal RNA", at positions 355 to 774 of the family's 1533-position model. The record is from RNAcentral.